Non-coding RNA from Neomonachus schauinslandi (Hawaiian monk seal), 73 nucleotides. Lineage: Eukaryota; Metazoa; Chordata; Mammalia; Carnivora; Phocidae. The record is from the annotation of a RefSeq genome assembly.
ACCCGGCUGGCUCAGUCAGUAGAGCAUGAAACUGUUGAUCUCAGGGUUGUGAGUUCGAGCCCCACGUUGGGUG